UACAGAGACUGCGAGCGUUAUUCGGAUUCACUGGGCGUAAAGGGUGCGCAGGCGGCUGAGUGUGUCAGGUGUGAAAGCCCGAGGCUUAACCUCGGAAUUGCGCCUGAAACUACUCAGCUAGAGUAUUGGAGAGGGUAGCGGAAUUCACGGUGUAGCAGUGAAAUGCGUAGAUAUCGUGAGGAACACCAGAGGCGAAGGCGGCUACCUGGACAAUAACUGACGCUCAGGCACGAAAGCGUGGGGAGCAAAAGGG
Molecule: ribosomal RNA, 253 nt
Filed under: uncultured bacterium
Lineage: Bacteria
Description: partial 16S ribosomal RNA
Rfam family: Bacterial small subunit ribosomal RNA
Source: RNAcentral